Molecule: long non-coding RNA, 1116 nt
Filed under: Cyanistes caeruleus (blue tit)
Lineage: Eukaryota; Metazoa; Chordata; Aves; Passeriformes; Paridae
Description: lncRNA (ENSCCEG00000015805.1)
Source: RNAcentral
GCAAGGUUUUCUAAUCAGAGUUUUAAACAACUUGUAUAGUUGCUACCAUUUUUUGGGUAAAUUCAGAACUUAUCCAAGUAUUUGUGUGAAUUUUUUAAGAAUUUAAGCUGAAAAUAGAUAUCUAAAAUCAGCUGCUGAGCCCAGUAGAAAGCAGCACACAUAAAACCUGAAAGGUACACUUGGUCCGGGGAAUUAUCAAAGUGUGGGUGACAUUUUGAAAAAUGCUGAGCACAAACUUACUGGGAUAAAGUGGUACAAUAAAGACUCCUGGCUUGAAGAAAGUGAAUGUUCAAGAGUUGUGGUAUUAACAUAGUGAAAUCUUUAGCUCCUGCCCUGAGGAGUUGCUUUUCAUUGCUUGAAGUCUCAGGGUGGCUGCCUGUUAAGUAGUGUCAAAAAAUGAGUCGCUGCAGGUUUCCUGCUUUGAAUUGGAAAGCACUCUGGAUCAGAAAGGAUUGCAGGAACCUAAGCCUUUCAGUUUCUUCAGCGUAAAGCAAGUUAACUGAUGUCUUCUAGGUGACCUCUGAAAGUCACUUGUAAUUCUUCAGCAGGCUGGAGCCCCUGCUGCAAUGCCACAGCAGCUCACACCUUGUUGCAAUCUGAGUCUCCUGGAACAAUAAUCAUCCAGAGCCACCCUCGCUGCAGAUGGACUGGCUUCCUUUGAGCUACGUUCCUCCCACUUCUGACAUUCCUGCUGCCUUGGGAUCCAAAUCUGCGCUUCAGACUGUUUGUGAAGAAAAUUCCUUCACACAGACAAGUGGCAAGCAAAACACUUUACAUGCAGGACCAAGAUGCUCACAAUUGUGUCUACCUUUCAAGGAGUAUGACUCCACAUUCCCUACCCACUGAUGUAAAUGUUUUCUUUUUAGCAUAACUUAAGUUGUUUAAUCACAGCAUGAAAACAUUAGGCAUAUGUUCAAUUUCCAGUUAUUAUCAGUGUCAUUUCUUGUUUGGCUUAUGAGCCAUAAAGGUUCUUUUUUUAAAAAAUAUCAUUUUGUUUUGACAUUCCAGGUUCUGCAUAUUUUAAGCAGUGCUUUUGCUAGUGCUCUGUGGGUGUUUGGACUCUGGGAACCCUCUUGACUAAAUAAAUGCCUCAUCAUUCACUUUUGAUAUCUGACA